AUUACCAUUAUUGUUAUUUUGAGACAUGUUCUCAAUCUGUAGCCCUGACCAGCCAGGCUGAAUUUGAACUCACAGUGAUCCACCUGCCUCUUCCUCCCACGUCCUGAGAAUAAAGGUGAACACCACCAUACACACCAAGGAAAUCAUAUUUUUUUAAAUUUUAAAAUGGUAUUAAAACAGUGAUGUUUUUCAAAUAACUGAUAUAUUGUUACUUUUCAUGAGGUAGAGAUCUUGUUAUCUAUAUUUUACAGAAGAAAUGUCAAGGGCUAAAAUAGUGAAGGGCCAUUCUCAGAAACCAACAUCUAUAAAGUGGAAAAGUUGAACUCAGAUCUGUUUUCCUCCAAAAUCUGGGAUAUGACAAUAUCUGAUACCUCUAUGGCAAAAAGAAUAGAGAGAGAGAGAGAGAGAGAGAGAGAGAGAGAGAGAGAGAGAGCAAGUAUAGAUUUUUAAGUACAGCAAUUCAUUCAGCUCAGCUCUGAGUCAUGAGAUUUCAGAAUGGUGUAUGGAGAUAUCUUUGUGAUAGGUUGAAUUCUGACCUCUAUCUUAUGAGUUCUUUAUUUGAGAUAUCAGCUACAGAAAUGGACACUCUGCAAUGGUCACUGAAGAAACAGUGAAGGAGAUGAGGUGGGGGAGUUAUCCCACUGAAAGGGAAGAGUAUUCCCAGGACCACUCAAGGGGAGGAGUAUGGAAUAACCUGAAAACUGGGGAGAGGACACUCCAUAUCUCUGAGCAUGCUCAAGUGCCCUUUUGUGAAAGUCCUAUGAUGUACUCCACACAAAAAUACCUGCUACUUCAAGCCAGAGUCAACUUGCUCAAGGCAUGGACAUAUAUCUUCCCUGAACUCUUGCUGUCUUCUUCUGCCCAUCCCAAGUCAUGCAGGGCAAGUGAGAGAGUGUUAUCUCAACUCUGUGGAGUUCACCAGUUCACCCAGAACUUACUUGGCCUUAUACUGUGGAACUUGUUGUACCAAUGAGGAAUCUGCCAUCCAAUUAGCUGAGUGGCUUGGACAAGUCCUCAUUAAAUCACCUGUGAAUUGUGAAGAGGACAAAGAGUCGGCUAGACUAAGACUCUUCGAGCCCUGAAGCUUGUAUUUCUCAAGUCACAGAUGCAAAAACAUGAGCAGCCCUCAGUCUGUCAUCAGAGAGCAACACACCCUCAAAUUAUCCAUCAAGAGACAUACAAACCCACCUCCUGAGCCACACCCUGAAGCAAAGAGCCCCACCUCAGUUCAUUACCUAAGAGAAACUCUCUACAGGAUCUUCUGACCCAGGAUCCCCAGGCCCUUGUUUCUCUGGACUCUUAAAGGCAGAAUGAAAGCUCAUCUAUUCAAGGAACUUCCCUCUUAAAAAAAAAAUAUGGUUUAAAGUUUCUUCUACUCUUGUCUCCCACUGCCUGGAGUUUAACCUUACUCAAGGGACUGUCUCAUUUAUCUGCAGGCAUUUCCUCCCAGGCUGUAAAUUCCUCAAAGAAAAAGGCUGUGUGUCGUUUUAUUGAGUGUUUGGGUCAGGAACCAGCUUGCAUAUAGGUAGGGCUGGGUGUCUGUGUCUUCCGGGACCACUCUAGAAGUAGAUUAAAGAUAGUCACAUGUUAUCUGAUCCUUUUCCCACUAAGAGGAAGAUGCCUCUAUUGCUUCCUUCUAGACAGCCAGAUGUUAUUUGUAUUGUUCCUAAUUUGUGUGGGAACACUGAGGCCCAAAGACUUGAUGUUCCAAGCCAUUCAGUGAGCAGAUAUCUAAAGAAGUCAACUUUGACUCCAAAAUUCAAGCACUCUGUCCUCAAGAAGUGUCUUUCUUCCUAAACAAAGGGACAAUAAGAAACAAGGAGACCUGGGAGCACAGGAAACAAACAACAGAACAAGAGGAAGAAGGAAAAGGCAUGUGUACAUGUCACCAGAUCGUGAUGGGAUAUACACUGUGCGUCGGAAUCUCAGCCUCAUUAUAAUCCUGAAAGACAAAGCAUAACUGGAUGCCAGGAGAAACUGCAGAGCAACAGUAGAAGACUGACUCAUGAAGGAUCUAAGAGAACUGGCUUUAGCUUGAGCAACUUGGUUUGCAUUCUGUCUCCUGAGAAGCAUGAUCUUGGGGAAGAUAUCCCAUGCCUCUUGGUCUUGGUUUCCGAUCCAGGAGAUGGAUAAUGUAGCACAUUUUUCAUAAAUGGAUGUCAAGAGUUCAACUCAAUAAAAUCUUAAGGCAUA
Molecule: non-coding RNA, 2193 nt
Organism: Rattus norvegicus (Norway rat)
Lineage: Eukaryota; Metazoa; Chordata; Mammalia; Rodentia; Muridae
Source: RefSeq, a predicted model, not a curated record